UACGAAGGGUGCAAGCGUUACUCGGAAUUACUGGGCGGAAAGCGUGCGUAGGUGGUUCGUUAAGUCUGAUGUGAAAGCCCUGGGCUCAACCUGGGAAUGGCAUUGGAAACUGGCGACCUAGAGUGCGGUAGAGGGUAGUGGAAUUCCCGGUGUAGCAGUGAAAUGCGUAGAGAUCGGGAGGAACAUCUGUGGCGAAGGCGACUGCCUGGACCAGCACUGACACUGAGGCACGAAAGCGUGGGGAGCAAACAGG
Molecule: ribosomal RNA, 253 nt
Filed under: uncultured bacterium
Lineage: Bacteria
Description: partial 16S ribosomal RNA
Rfam family: Bacterial small subunit ribosomal RNA
Source: RNAcentral